UACGUAGGGUGCAAGCGUUAAUCGGAAUUACUGGGCGUAAAGCGUGCGCAGGCGGUCUUGCAAGACAGAUGUGAAAUCCCCGGGCUCAACCCGGGAACUGCGUCCGAUACUGGCAGGCUUGAAUCCGGGAGAGGGAUGUGGAAUUCCAGGUGUAGCGGUGAAAUGCGUAGAUAUCUGGAGGAACACCGGUGGCGAAGGCGGCAUCCUGGACCGGUAUUGACGCUGAGGCGCGAAAGCCAGGGGAGCAAACGGG
This 253-nucleotide ribosomal RNA is filed under the name uncultured bacterium. Its description in RNAcentral is "partial 16S ribosomal RNA". It matches the Rfam family "Bacterial small subunit ribosomal RNA", at positions 524 to 776 of the family's 1533-position model. The record is from RNAcentral.